RNAcentral lists this ribosomal RNA (253 nucleotides) under uncultured bacterium. RNAcentral describes it as "partial 16S ribosomal RNA". It matches the Rfam family "Bacterial small subunit ribosomal RNA", at positions 524 to 776 of the family's 1533-position model. The record is from RNAcentral.
UACGGAGGGUGCGAGCGUUGUUCGGAAUUACUGGGCGUAAAGCGCGUGUAGGCGGCCUGCUAAGUCUGAUGUGAAAGCCCGGGGCUCACCCCCGGAAGUGCAUUGGAAACUGGUAGGCUCGAGUCCCGGAGAGGAGGGUGGAAUUCCUGGUGUAGCGGUGAAAUGCGUAGAUAUCAGGAGGAACACCGGUGGCGAAGGCGGCCCCCUGGACGGUGACUGACGCUGAGACGCGAAAGCGUGGGGAGCAAACAGG